Molecule: ribosomal RNA, 254 nt
Filed under: uncultured prokaryote
Description: partial 16S ribosomal RNA
Rfam family: Bacterial small subunit ribosomal RNA
Source: RNAcentral
UACGGGGGGAGCAAGCGUUGUUCGGAUUUACUGGGCGUAAAGGGCGCGUAGGCGGUCAGCACAAGUCAGUUGUGAAAUCUCCGGGCUUAACUCGGAAAGGUCAACUGAUACUGUGCGACUAGAGUGCAGAAGGGGCAACUGGAAUUCUCGGUGUAGCGGUGAAAUGCGUAGAUAUCAGGAGGAACACCUGCGGUGUAGACGGCUUACUGGACCAUAACUGACGCUGAGGCACGAAAGCGUGGGUAGCAAACAGG